This 75-nucleotide transfer RNA is filed under the name Clostridium argentinense. RNAcentral's name for it is "tRNA-Glu". It matches the Rfam family "tRNA". From Rfam's summary of the family: Transfer RNA (tRNA) molecules are approximately 80 nucleotides in length. The record is from RNAcentral. RNAcentral also lists the same sequence under 1 other name. Lineage: Bacteria; Bacillati; Bacillota; Clostridia; Eubacteriales; Clostridiaceae.
GGCUCCUUGGUCAAGCGGUUAAGACACCACCCUCUCACGGUGGUAACAGGGGUUCGAUUCCCCUAGGAGUCACCA